RNAcentral lists this long non-coding RNA (133 nucleotides) under Monodelphis domestica (gray short-tailed opossum). RNAcentral describes it as "lncRNA (ENSMODG00000033045.2)". Lineage: Eukaryota; Metazoa; Chordata; Mammalia; Didelphimorphia; Didelphidae. The record is from RNAcentral.
UCAUGAGCCAGUCUCCACAUUCUCAAGUAUACUAUAGUUGCAUGCCCAAUUCACUGACCUACUCUUUAUUUUAUUGAUGUAAGUAUAUAGAUAUGUCUUUCCCUAAGUACUUCCCUGGCUCCAUCCCACAAAU